UACGGAGGAGGCAAGCGUUAUCCGGAAUUAUUGGGCGUAAAGCGUCCGCAGGUGGCACCUCAAGUCUGCUGUCAAAGACCGGGGCUUAACCCCAGAAAGGCAGUGGAAACUGAAGUGCUAGAGUGCAGUAGGGGUAGAGGGAAUUCCCGGUGUAGCGGUGAAAUGCGUAGAGAUCGGGAAGAACAUCGGUGGCGAAAGCGCUCUGCUGGACUGCAACUGACACUCAGGGACGAAAGCUAGGGGAGCGAACGGG
Molecule: ribosomal RNA, 253 nt
Filed under: uncultured bacterium
Lineage: Bacteria
Description: partial 16S ribosomal RNA
Rfam family: Bacterial small subunit ribosomal RNA
Source: RNAcentral